GAUGAACGCUGGCGGCGUGCCUAAUACAUGCAAGUCGAGCGAACAGACGAGGAGCUUGCUUCUCUGAUGUUAGCGGCGGACGGGUGAGUAACACGUGGAUAACCUACCUAUAAGACUGGGAUAACUUCGGGAAACCGGAGCUAAUACCGGAUAAUAUUUUGAACCGCAUGGUUCAAAAGUGAAAGACGGUCUUGCUGUCACUUAUAGAUGGAUCCGCGCUGCAUUAGCUAGUUGGUAAGGUAACGGCUUACCAAGGCAACGAUGCAUAGCCGACCUGAGAGGGUGAUCGGCCACACUGGAACUGAGACACGGUCCAGACUCCUACGGGAGGCAGCAGUAGGGAAUCUUCCGCAAUGGGCGAAAGCCUGACGGAGCAACGCCGCGUGAGUGAUGAAGGUCUUCGGAUCGUAAAACUCUGUUAUUAGGGAAGAACAUAUGUGUAAGUAACUGUGCACAUCUUGACGGUACCUAAUCAGAAAGCCACGGCUAACUACGUGCCAGCAGCCGCGGUAAUACGUAGGUGGCAAGCGUUAUCCGGAAUUAUUGGGCGUAAAGCGCGCGUAGGCGGUUUUUUAAGUCUGAUGUGAAAGCCCACGGCUCAACCGUGGAGGGUCAUUGGAAACUGGAAAACUUGAGUGCAGAAGAGGAAAGUGGAAUUCCAUGUGUAGCGGUGAAAUGCGCAGAGAUAUGGAGGAACACCAGUGGCGAAGGCGACUUUCUGGUCUGUAACUGACGCUGAUGUGCGAAAGCGUGGGGAUCAAACAGGAUUAGAUACCCUGGUAGUCCACGCCGUAAACGAUGAGUGCUAAGUGUUAGGGGGUUUCCGCCCCUUAGUGCUGCAGCUAACGCAUUAAGCACUCCGCCUGGGGAGUACGACCGCAAGGUUGAAACUCAAAGGAAUUGACGGGGACCCGCACAAGCGGUGGAGCAUGUGGUUUAAUUCGAAGCAACGCGAAGAACCUUACCAAAUCUUGACAUCCUUUGACAACUCUAGAGAUAGAGCCUUCCCCUUCGGGGGACAAAGUGACAGGUGGUGCAUGGUUGUCGUCAGCUCGUGUCGUGAGAUGUUGGGUUAAGUCCCGCAACGAGCGCAACCCUUAAGCUUAGUUGCCAUCAUUAAGUUGGGCACUCUAAGUUGACUGCCGGUGACAAACCGGAGGAAGGUGGGGAUGACGUCAAAUCAUCAUGCCCCUUAUGAUUUGGGCUACACACGUGCUACAAUGGACAAUACAAAGGGCAGCGAAACCGCGAGGUCAAGCAAAUCCCAUAAAGUUGUUCUCAGUUCGGAUUGUAGUCUGCAACUCGACUACAUGAAGCUGGAAUCGCUAGUAAUCGUAGAUCAGCAUGCUACGGUGAAUACGUUCCCGGGUCU
Molecule: ribosomal RNA, 1372 nt
Filed under: uncultured bacterium
Lineage: Bacteria
Description: bacterial SSU rRNA
Rfam family: Bacterial small subunit ribosomal RNA
Source: RNAcentral